This 497-nucleotide ribosomal RNA is filed under the name uncultured bacterium. RNAcentral describes it as "partial 16S ribosomal RNA". It matches the Rfam family "Bacterial small subunit ribosomal RNA", at positions 28 to 507 of the family's 1533-position model. The record is from RNAcentral.
GAUGAACGCUGGCGGCGUGCCUAAUACAUGCAAGUCGAGCGAACAGACGAGGAGCUUGCUCCUCUGACGUUAGCGGCGGACGGGUGAGUAACACGUGGAUAACCUACCUAUAAGACUGGGAUAACUUCGGGAAACCGGAGCUAAUACCGGAUAAUAUAUUGAACCGCAUGGUUCAAUAGUGAAAGACGGUUUUGCUGUCACUUAUAGAUGGAUCCGCGCCGGAUUAGCUAGUUGGUAAGGUAACGGCUUACCAAGGCAACGAUGCGUAGCCGACCUGAGAGGGUGAUAGGCCACACUGGAACUGAGACACGGUCCAGACUACUACGGGAGGCAGCAGUAGGGAAUCUUCCGCAAUGGGCGAAAGCCUGACGGAGCAACGCCGCGUGAGUGAUGAAGGUCUUCGGAUCGUAAAACUCUGUUAUUAGGGAAGAACAAAUGUGUAAGUAACUAUGCACGUAUUGACGGUACCUAAUCAGAAAGCCACGGCUAACUACGUG